UGUCCUACGGGAGGCAGCAGUGGGGAAUAUUGCACAAUGGGGGAAACCCUGAUGCAGCGACGCCGCGUGAGUGAAGAAGUAUUUCGGUAUGUAAAGCUCUAUCAGCAGGGAAGAUAAUGACGGUACCUGACUAAGAAGCUCCGGCUAAAUACGUGCCAGCAGCCGCGGUAAUACGUAUGGAGCAAGCGUUAUCCGGAUUUACUGGGUGUAAAGGGAGCGCAGGCGGCGCGGUAAGUCUGAUGUGAAAGCCCGGGGCUCAACCCCGGGACUGCAUUGGAAACUGUCGUGCUGGAGUGUCGGAGGGG
RNAcentral lists this ribosomal RNA (305 nucleotides) under uncultured bacterium. Its description in RNAcentral is "bacterial SSU rRNA". It matches the Rfam family "Bacterial small subunit ribosomal RNA", at positions 335 to 657 of the family's 1533-position model. The record is from RNAcentral.